RNAcentral lists this ribosomal RNA (454 nucleotides) under uncultured Paludibacter sp. RNAcentral describes it as "partial 16S ribosomal RNA". It matches the Rfam family "Bacterial small subunit ribosomal RNA", at positions 341 to 792 of the family's 1533-position model. Lineage: Bacteria; Pseudomonadati; Bacteroidota; Bacteroidia; Bacteroidales; Paludibacteraceae. The record is from RNAcentral. RNAcentral also lists the same sequence under 1 other name.
ACGGGAGGCAGCAGUGAGGAAUAUUGGUCAAUGGACGGAAGUCUGAACCAGCCAUGUCGCGUGAAGGAAGACGGUACUACGUAUUGUAAACUUCUUUUAUCUGGGGGUAAAGUGGUCCACGUGUGGGCUAUUGCAAGUACCAGAUGAAUAAGCAUCGGCUAACUCCGUGCCAGCAGCCGCGGUAAUACGGAGGAUGCAAGCGUUAUCCGGAUUUAUUGGGUUUAAAGGGUGCGUAGGCGGGCAAUCAAGUCAGCGGUGAAAUUCUGUGGCUCAACCAUAGGACUGCCGUUGAAACUGGCUGCCUUGAGUGCGGCAGAGGUAGGCGGAAUGUGUGGUGUAGCGGUGAAAUGCAUAGAUAUCACACAGAACACCGAUUGCGAAGGCAGCUUACUGGAGCGCAACUGACGCUGAGGCACGAAAGCGUGGGGAUCGAACAGGAUUAGAUACCCUGGUA